RNAcentral lists this long non-coding RNA (217 nucleotides) under Elaeis guineensis (African oil palm). Its description in RNAcentral is "long non-coding RNA (EGUI_LNC005325)". The record is from RNAcentral. Lineage: Eukaryota; Viridiplantae; Streptophyta; Magnoliopsida; Arecales; Arecaceae.
CCUCAAACUAAAGAUUUCUCUCAAAUCUCUCUUCCCACUGAUUUUCACCAUUUAAAUCGCCCGUUUAGGAACCAACUUCCUCUCCUUUUUCUUUCUCGUUUGGACGAUUCGAGCUUGCCCUAGAUUCUACCCCUUUUCUCCAAAUCAGUGAUUUACCUUCCUAAAAUUUUUGCUUUUUCUUCUAAAAAUCUUUCCUCUCUACCUCUCAUUUAGUCUC